GUGCUCGCUUUGGCAGCACAUAUACUAAAAUUGGAACAACACAGAGAUUAGCAUGAUCCCUGCACAAGGAGGACACACAAAUUUGUGAAAUGUUCUGUAUUAAA
Molecule: small nuclear RNA, 104 nt
Organism: Nycticebus coucang (slow loris)
Lineage: Eukaryota; Metazoa; Chordata; Mammalia; Primates; Lorisidae
Source: RefSeq, a predicted model, not a curated record